UGAGGAACAUGACUUUCGGCGGGGGAUAGCCGGCCCAACGGCCGGGUAAUACCGCGUACGACCUUUUGGGGACAUCCCUGAUUGGUGAAAGCAGGAAUGCGCCGAAAGAGUGCCUCGCGGCCUAUCAGCUAGUUGGUGGGGUAAUGGCUCACCAAGGCGACGACGGGUAGCUGGUCUGAGAGGAUGGCCAGCCACAUUGGGACUGAGACACGGCCCAGACUCCUACGGGAGGCAGCAGG
RNAcentral lists this ribosomal RNA (239 nucleotides) under uncultured bacterium. RNAcentral describes it as "partial 16S ribosomal RNA". It matches the Rfam family "Bacterial small subunit ribosomal RNA", at positions 118 to 354 of the family's 1533-position model. The record is from RNAcentral.